GAGGAAAGAGGGAGGAGGGAGGAAGAAAGGAAAGUAGAGUGAACAGACGAGGAGCUUGCUCCUCUGACGUUAGCGGCGGACGGGUGAUUAACCCGUGGAUAACCUCCCUUUAAGACUGGCCUAACUUCGGGAAACCGGAUCUAAUACCGGCUAACAUGUUGAACCCCAUGGUUCAACAAUGAAAGCCGGUCUUGCUGUCACUUAUUGUUGGAUCCGCGCCGUAUUAGCUAGUUGGUAUGGUAACGGCUUACCAAGGCAACGAUCCGUAGCCGACCUGAGAGGGUGAUCGGCCACACUGGAACUGAGACACGGUCCAGACUCCUACGGGAGGCAGCAGUAGGGAAUCUUCCGCAAUGGGCGAAAGCCUGACGGAGCAACGCCGCGUGAGUGAAGAAGGUCUUCGGAUCGUAAAACUCUGUUAUUAGGGAAGAACAAAGGGGGAAGUAACUAUGCACGUCUUGACGGUACCGAAUGAAAAAGCCACGGCUAACUACGUA
RNAcentral lists this ribosomal RNA (497 nucleotides) under uncultured bacterium. Its description in RNAcentral is "partial 16S ribosomal RNA". It matches the Rfam family "Bacterial small subunit ribosomal RNA", at positions 28 to 507 of the family's 1533-position model. The record is from RNAcentral.